This is a non-coding RNA of Alligator sinensis (Chinese alligator), 544 nucleotides long. NCBI's taxonomy places the organism in Eukaryota, Metazoa, Chordata, Crocodylia, Alligatoridae. The record is from the annotation of a RefSeq genome assembly.
GUGAAAGACAGAGAGGUCAGAGUCUGCACAGUCUGCCAAGGUUCAGGGUGCCAUGGGCAGGACAGGGCUGGGUUUGCUCCUCUUCCUGGCGGCUUGCUCAGGUGGCAGCUCCCAGAUCCAGCUGACCCAGUCUGGAGCAGAAGUCAAGAAACCUGAAGAGUCGGCAAAGCUGAGCUGUAAAACCUCUGGCUACACAUUCACCAGCACCAACAUGUACUGGAUACGUCAGCCACCUGGGAAGGGACUGCAGUGGGUAGGAGAGAUCAACCCCAGCUCUGAUGGCACUUGGUAUGGCCAGGGCUUCCAGGGCCGGUUCACCAUCUCCAAGGACACCUCCACCAGCACAGUCUUCCUGCAGCUGAGCAGCCUGAGGACCGAUGACACUGCCAUGUAUUACUGUGCUCAUCGCACAAAACAGAAGGGAAAGACCACCAUGCAGAAUCCAGAAUGCAUGCAAGCACAGACUGAUGAUGAACAGAGCCCUAAGUCUGACACCAGUUUCCUGACCCGGGUCCUGAAUCCCUCACUGUCCUGUGAGCACUAA